RNAcentral lists this ribosomal RNA (945 nucleotides) under archaeon enrichment culture clone C1-10C-A. Its description in RNAcentral is "bacterial SSU rRNA". It matches the Rfam family "Archaeal small subunit ribosomal RNA", at positions 1 to 922 of the family's 1478-position model. The record is from RNAcentral.
UCCGGUUGAUCCUGCCGGACCCCACUGCUAUCGGGGAUAGGGACUAAGACAUGCUAGUCGUGUGCCUCAGCCAAAACGAGGCACGGCGCACAGCUCAGUAACGCGUGGCUAACCUGCCCUUAGGACGAGAAUAACCCCGGGAAACUGGGGCUAAUGCUCGAUAGGUGAAGAACUCUGGAAUGAGUCUUCACUUAAAAGAGUCUGCGUUAUGCUCGUAGAUUUCGCUUAAGGAUGGGGCCGCGACCGAUCAGGUUGUUGGUGAGGUAAUGGCUCACCAAGCCUUUUACCGGUGCGGGCCGUGAGAGCGGGAGCCCGGAGAUGGGCACUGAGACAAGGGCCCAGGCCCUACGGGGCGCAGCAGUCGCGAAAACUUUGCAAUACACGAAAGUGUGACGGGGCUAUCCCGAGUGCCAUCCGCUGAGGAAGGCUUUUACCCAGUCUAGGACGCUGGGGGAAUAAGGAGAGGGCAAGUCUGGUGUCAGCCGCCGCGGUAAUACCAGCUCUCCGAGUGGUGUGGAUGUUUAUUGGGCCUAAAGCAUCCGUAGCUGGCUAAGUUAGUCCCCUGUUAAAUCCAACGAAUUAAUCGUUGGAUCGCGGGGGAUACUGCUUGGCUAGGGGACGAGAGAGGCAGACGGUAUUUCCGGGGUAGGGGUGAAAUCCUAUAAUCCCGGGAAGACCACCAGUGGCGAAGGCUGUCUGCUAGAACGCGCCCGACGGUGAGGGAUGAAAGCUGGGGGAGCGAACCUGAUUAGAUACCCGGGUAGUCCCAGCUGUAAACGAUGCAGGCUAGGUGUUUGGACGGCCACGUGCCGUUCUAGUGCCGCAGGGAAGCUGUUAAGCCUGCCGCCUGGGGAGUACGAUCGCAAGAUUGAAACUUAAAAGGAAUUGGCGGGGGAGCACCACAAGGGGGUGAAACUUGCGGUUUAAUUGGGAUUCAACGCCGGG